UACGUAGGUGGCGAGCGUUGUCCGGAAUCAUUGGGCGUAAAGAGCGUGUAGGCGGCUUGGUAGGUCCGCUGUGAAAACUCGAGGCUCAACCUCGAGAUGUCGGCGGAAACCACUUGGCUAGAGUCCGGAAGAGGAGAGUGGAAUUCCUGGUGUAGCGGUGAAAUGCGCAGAUAUCAGGAGGAACACCGGUGGCGAAGGCGGGUCUCUGGGCCGAUACUGACGCUGAGGAGCGAAAGCGUGGGGAGCGAACAGG
Molecule: ribosomal RNA, 253 nt
Filed under: uncultured bacterium
Lineage: Bacteria
Description: partial 16S ribosomal RNA
Rfam family: Bacterial small subunit ribosomal RNA
Source: RNAcentral